UACGGAGGGUGCGAGCGUUGUCCGGAAUCAUUGGGCGUAAAGAGCGUGUAGGCGGCCGGGUAAGUCCGGUGUGAAAACUCGAGGCUUAACCUCGAGAUGUCAUCGGAAACUAUUCGGCUAGAGUCCGGAAGAGGAGAGUGGAAUUCCUGGUGUAGCGGUGAAAUGCGCAGAUAUCAGGAAGAACACCUAUGGCGAAAGCAGCUCUCUGGGACGGUACUGACGCUGAGACGCGAAAGCGUGGGGAGCGAACAGG
This 253-nucleotide ribosomal RNA is filed under the name uncultured bacterium. RNAcentral's name for it is "partial 16S ribosomal RNA". It matches the Rfam family "Bacterial small subunit ribosomal RNA", at positions 524 to 776 of the family's 1533-position model. The record is from RNAcentral.